This 83-nucleotide transfer RNA is filed under the name Schistocephalus solidus. It matches the Rfam family "tRNA". From Rfam's summary of the family: Transfer RNA (tRNA) molecules are approximately 80 nucleotides in length. Their secondary structure includes four short double-helical elements and three loops (D, anti-codon, and T loops). Further hydrogen bonds mediate the characteristic L-shaped molecular structure. tRNAs have two regions of fundamental functional importance: the anti-codon, which is responsible for specific mRNA codon recognition, and the 3' end, to which the tRNAs corresponding amino acid is attached (by aminoacyl-tRNA synthetases). tRNAs cope with the degeneracy of the genetic code in two manners: having more than one tRNA (with a specific anti-codon) for a particular amino acid; and 'wobble' base-pairing, i.e. permitting non-standard base-pairing at the 3rd anti-codon position. The record is from Rfam by way of RNAcentral. Lineage: Eukaryota; Metazoa; Platyhelminthes; Cestoda; Diphyllobothriidea; Diphyllobothriidae.
GACCUCGUAACUCAGGUGGUUAGAGCGUUUGAUUUACUUAAGUCUUGCUCUUGUUGUCGUGGGUUCGAAUCCCACCGAGACCA